GAUGAACGCUAGCUACAGGCUUAACACAUGCAAGUCGAGGGGUAACAAGAGGAAAGCUUGCUUUUCUUGUUGACGACCGGCGCACGGGUGAGUAACGCGUAUCCAACCUGCCUAUAACUAGGGAAUAACCUUGCGAAAGUAAGACUAAUACCCUAUGAUUUCCUUUGAUGACAUCAGAUUAGGAAUAAAGAUUUAUCGGUUAUAGAUGGGGAUGCGUCGGAUUAGCUUGUUGGCGGGGUAACGGCCCACCAAGGCAACGAUCAGUAGGGGUUCUGAGAGGAAGGUACCCCACAUUGGAACUGAGACACGGUCCAAACUCCUACGGGAGGCAGCAGUGAGGAAUAUUGGUCAAUGGGCGGAAGCCUGAACCAGCCAAGUAGCGUGCAGGAUGACGGCCCUAUGGGUUGUAAACUGCUUUUAUACAGGAAUAAAGUUAGCCACGUGUGGUUAUUUGUAGGUACUGUAUGAAUAAGGACCGGCUAAUUCCGUGCCAGCCGCCGCGGUAA
This 506-nucleotide ribosomal RNA is filed under the name uncultured bacterium. RNAcentral's name for it is "partial 16S ribosomal RNA". It matches the Rfam family "Bacterial small subunit ribosomal RNA", at positions 28 to 523 of the family's 1533-position model. The record is from RNAcentral.